AUGAAAAUACUAAGCUGGAACUGUCGAGGGCUGGGUCGGCCUCGUACAGUUCAAGAAUUAGUUUGGCUCAAUAAGUCUUACCGACCCAACAUUGUUUUUCUUUCUGAAACUAGGAAAAAUAAAGAUUAUGUUGAGAGUUUGUGGUAUCAUUUGGGUAUGAAAAAUGUUUUUACAGUUUCGGGUAAAGGCAAAGGCGGUGGCUUAGCGGUUUUUUGGGAUGAGUGCUUCUCUGUGGAGUUCAACAAAUUUGGCGAUCAUUUUAUUGACUUGUAUAUUUGCAAGAGUGGUGGAUCAAAAUGGAGGUGCACUUUGGUUUAUGGCGAACCGAAGGCGAGUCAAAGGUACGUAAUGUGGGAGCUUUUGAGACAGAUUAAAUCUCUUGGUUCUGGUCCUUGGUUUAUGGUCGGAGAUUUUAAUGAAGCUAUGUGGCAAUAUGAGCAUUUCUCACGUAAUACAAGAUCACCUAAACUCAUGGCAAAUUUCUGGGAGGUUCGCUCUGGGUGCAACCCAUUUGAUCUGGGGGUUUAUGGUGUGCCUUGGAUGUAUGAUAAUAAGUAGGAAGGAAAUUGAAAUGUGAAGGUGCAACUGGAUCGUGCGGUCGCUUGUCCACAAUGGACUUCAAUGUUCCCUCAUUGUACAGUGUCACACAUUAUUUCUUCCAGGUCAGAUCAUUGCCCUUUGUAUAUUCAGCUGAUGGGUAAUCAGCGUAACGUCGCCUUUAAAAACAUUUGA
RNAcentral lists this ribosomal RNA (732 nucleotides) under Triticum aestivum (bread wheat). Its description in RNAcentral is "partial small subunit ribosomal RNA". Lineage: Eukaryota; Viridiplantae; Streptophyta; Magnoliopsida; Poales; Poaceae. The record is from RNAcentral.